RNAcentral lists this small RNA (568 nucleotides) under Vigna angularis var. angularis. Its description in RNAcentral is "Non-protein coding transcript". Lineage: Eukaryota; Viridiplantae; Streptophyta; Magnoliopsida; Fabales; Fabaceae. The record is from RNAcentral.
UUACAAGGCCUUUGCAAUCUUCAUAUGCUUUAUCGGAAUCAUCAUUCAUUUACAGGCCAAACUCGUCAUCUGUGCUUAGAACUGCAGUUAGCAGUGUGCCAUUGCCAUCUUGGAGUUAUAAUCUUACGCCACAAGUUGGUAUUCUUCCUAAAGUGAUAAAAGCUUGGUGCUUGAGCAAAAUCUAAAAGGACAUGUUAAGCGGUGUCCAUUGUUGAAACAGACUCAGUCCUUAUUUGUCUAACCUUUCUAUCAAAAGGGUAUCAUUGUUGGCUCUGAUGGAGAGGAGGAAACAUCCGGGGUUGAUGAUUAAAGUUUGCCAACAAAACCAGUUUCUUCCUAAAUGAAGAGGAAUGCUCUUCAUGGAAUGAGUGUGCCUGAAUUUUGCAAGUUGAUUGAAAAGAUUGAAUUUCUUCAUGAGUCUUUGUGUAAAAAUAUUCAGGACUCAAUUCAAAUGUUAGAGGUCUGCAGCCUAUGGAUUAAAAGAGGAGUUGAAGAUAGGUAGCUAUUAGUGAAUUCUCUGAAUUUAUUUAAUGUCAAAUUUUGAUUACCUUAUGAGUUGUAAAAUAAU